AUGCUCGGCGCCGGCCUCAGUGCCAAGAUCAGGAGGGCGAUGGCGGCCCUGCUCCGAGGUCGCAGCCGCCGGCUGCUUCGAAUCGCUUCACCAGGCAGCAGGGCGCCAUGGUCGGAGCUCCCGGCGGACCUGCUGGCCCUCGUGCUCUCCCGCCUGCCCUCCCAAACCGACCGCGUCCGCCUCCGCGCCGUCUGCCGGUCGUGGCGCUCCGCCGCGCGCCUGCGGCCGCUGUCGCCGCCGCUCCCCUGGCUCUUCGUCCGCGGCGACACCUUCCUCACCCUCUCCGAGGGCGCACCCCACCGCAUGCCCCUCGACCUCAACGAAAUACACCUACGUGUCCCCGCCGGCAGCAUGUUCUUCCUCGUGCGCCGCGACGGCAGAUGCUCCCUGAUGAACCCUUCUUCCGGGGAGAUGACCCCUCUACAACCACAAGUCAACAGCAACAGACUCAAGAUCGACCUCAGUUGCCGCAGCUACAAUUGGAUCAGUAAGGUGGUGGUGUCUGAUCGCAUCGUCGCCGUCACUGUUCCGUACAGUGGCAUGGUCACAAUCUUUCCUCGCACGGCCACGACGUCGUCAGGUGCCGGAUUGUGCUGGGUGCCCCCUGCUGCAAGCACCGAUGUCGUCGACACUGACAUUGCACUCUUCCAAGGUGAGCUUUACGUAGUCCUCACCAAAAAGCACCACAUAAGUGGUUCUGAAUCUGAACUACCCGAGCUCCAUCGCUUGGAAAUCGACGAGCAGCAGAACCGCGUCAGGUCAGUCCAAUGCAUACGCGGCAGGCCAAGAAACGGCGUGGACGACCCUGGCCUGCGUGAGCAUGAAAGCUGGCGCUCCGUCUCCAACCUCGUCGAGUGCGGCAAUCGGCUGCUAAUGGUGGAAAGGUAUACUGUUGUUGAGAAGUUCGUGGUCUGGGACGACGUCUCCCGAGAGAGCGGUUCGAUUGCCAUACGGACCCAGAUCAAGGUCUGGGAGGGGGUGGACCUGACCGGCAGCCAUGGGCAUUGGAGCAAGGCGGAUACGCUGAUGGGGCAUGCGCUCUUCGUCAGCCGAGGCUGCUCCGAGUCGCUCCCAGCAGCCCAAUGUGGAGCUCGACAAGAUUGCAUCUACUUUGUGACGACUGAGCAUCCCAGGCUUCGUUCUAGACGGAAAUGGAGCUUCAUGAUGACGUCCUGCGCUGUGUUGUGUACAACGUUAGAGACAGGAGAAUGGAGCCAUUGGAGACGAUGGCAGCGACGGCCAGUCCAUGGGAACAACCGACUUGGUUUUUCCCUGCCGAUGCUUGAGUGA
Molecule: ribosomal RNA, 1290 nt
Filed under: Triticum aestivum (bread wheat)
Lineage: Eukaryota; Viridiplantae; Streptophyta; Magnoliopsida; Poales; Poaceae
Description: partial small subunit ribosomal RNA
Source: RNAcentral